RNAcentral lists this long non-coding RNA (533 nucleotides) under Salmo salar (Atlantic salmon). Its description in RNAcentral is "lncRNA (ENSSSAG00000097924.1, ENSSSAG00000118925.1)". The record is from RNAcentral. Lineage: Eukaryota; Metazoa; Chordata; Actinopteri; Salmoniformes; Salmonidae.
AAAGUUAUGUUGUGGAGGGUAGUAUCCUGUAUAUGUCCUGGUGACAUAGUGAAGGUUAUGUUGUGGAGGGUAGUAUCCUGUAUAUGUCCUGGUGACAUAGUGAAGGUUAUGUUGUGGAGGGCAGUAUCCUGUAUAUGUCCUGGUGACAUAGUGAAGGUUGUGUUGUGGAGAGUAGUAUCCUGUAUAUGUCCUGGUGACAUAGUGUUGUGGAGGGUAGUAUCCUGUAUAUGUCCUGGUGACAUAGUGAAGGUGAUGUUGUGGAGAGUAGUAUCCUGUAUAUGUCCUGGUGACAUAGUGUUGUGGAGGGUAGUAUCCUGUAUAUGUCCUGGUGACAUAGUGAAGGUUAUGUUGUGGAGGGUAGUAUCCUGUAUAUGUCCUGGUGACAUAGUGUUGUGGAGGGUAGUAUCCUGUAUAUGUCCUGGUGACAUAGUGAAGGUGAUGUUGUGGAGAGUAGUAUCCUGUAUAUGUCCUGGUGACAUAGUGUUGUGGAGGGUAGUAUCCUGUAUAUGUCCUGGUGACAUAGUGAAGGUUAU